UACGUAGGGGGCAAGCGUUGUCCGGAUUUACUGGGCGUAAAGAGCGUGUAGGCGGCCAAACAGGUCCGUUGUGAAAACUGGAGGCUUAACCUCCAGACGUCGACGGAAACCGUAUGGCUAGAGUCCGGAAGAGGAGAGUGGAAUUCCUGGUGUAGCGGUGAAAUGCGCAGAUAUCAGGAAGAACACCAAUUGCGAAGGCAGCUCGCUGGGACGUUACUGACGCUGAGACGCGAAAGCGUGGGGAGCGAACAGG
Molecule: ribosomal RNA, 253 nt
Filed under: uncultured bacterium
Lineage: Bacteria
Description: partial 16S ribosomal RNA
Rfam family: Bacterial small subunit ribosomal RNA
Source: RNAcentral